Molecule: ribosomal RNA, 931 nt
Filed under: uncultured Alteromonas sp.
Lineage: Bacteria; Pseudomonadati; Pseudomonadota; Gammaproteobacteria; Alteromonadales; Alteromonadaceae
Description: bacterial SSU rRNA
Rfam family: Bacterial small subunit ribosomal RNA
Source: RNAcentral
GUCGAACGGUAACAUUUCUAGCUUGCUAGAAGAUGACGAGUGGCGGACGGGUGAGUAAUGCUUGGGAACUUGCCUUUGCGAGGGGGAUAACAGUUGGAAACGACUGCUAAUACCGCAUAAUGUCUUCGGACCAAACGGGGCUUCGGCUCCGGCGCAAAGAGAGGCCCAAGUGAGGUUAGCUAGUUGGUAAGGUAACGGCUUACCAAGGCGACGAUCUCUAGCUGUUCUGAGAGGAAGAUCAGCCACACUGGGACUGAGACACGGCCCAGACUCCUACGGGAGGCAGCAGUGGGGAAUAUUGCACAAUGGGGGAAACCCUGAUGCAGCCAUGCCGCGUGUGUGAAGAAGGCCUUCGGGUUGUAAAGCACUUUCAGUUGUGAGGAAAAGUUAGUAGUUAAUACCUGCUAGCCGUGACGUUAACAACAGAAGAAGCACCGGCUAACUCCGUGCCAGCAGCCGCGGUAAUACGGAGGGUGCGAGCGUUAAUCGGAAUUACUGGGCGUAAAGCGCACGCAGGCGGUUUGUUAAGCUAGAUGUGAAAGCCCCGGGCUCAACCUGGGAUGGUCAUUUAGAACUGGCAGACUAGAGUCUUGGAGAGGGGAGUGGAAUUCCAGGUGUAGCGGUGAAAUGCGUAGAUAUCUGGAGGAACAUCAGUGGCGAAGGCGACUCCCUGGCCAAAGACUGACGCUCAUGUGCGAAAGUGUGGGUAGCGAACAGGAUUAGAUACCCUGGUAGUCCACACCGUAAACGCUGUCUACUAGCUGUGUGUGCCUUUAAGGCGUGCGUAGCGAAGCUAACGCGCUAAGUAGACCGCCUGGGGAGUACGGCCGCAAGGUUAAAACUCAAAUGAAUUGACGGGGCCCGCACAAGCGGUGAGCAUGUGAUUAUUCGAUGCACGCGAGACCUUACCUACACUUGACAUGCUGAGAGU